RNAcentral lists this ribosomal RNA (850 nucleotides) under uncultured Bacillus sp. RNAcentral's name for it is "bacterial SSU rRNA". It matches the Rfam family "Bacterial small subunit ribosomal RNA", at positions 51 to 882 of the family's 1533-position model. Lineage: Bacteria; Bacillati; Bacillota; Bacilli; Caryophanales; Bacillaceae. The record is from RNAcentral.
CUAUAAUGCAGUCGAGCGGACCGACGGGAGCUUGCUCCCUUAGGUCAGCGGCGGACGGGUGAGUAACACGUGGGUAACCUGCCUGUAAGAUCGGGAUAACACCGGGAAACCGGGGCUAAUACCGGAUAGUUUUUUCCUCCGCAUGGAGGAAAAAGGAAAGACGGCUUUCGCUACCACUUACAGAUGGACCCGCGGCGCAUUAGCUAGUUGGUGGGGUAACGGCUCACCAAGGCAACGAUGCGUAGCCGACCUGAGAGGGUGAUCGGCCACACUGGGACUGAGACACGGCCCAGACUCCUACGGGAGGCAGCAGUAGGGAAUCUUCCGCAAUGGACGAAAGUCUGACGGAGCAACGCCGCGUGAGUGAUGAAGGUUUUCGGAUCGUAAAACUCUGUUGUUAGGGAAGAACAAGUACCGUUCGAAUAGGGCGGUACCUUGACGGUACCUAACCAGAAAGCCACGGCUAACUACGUGCCAGCAGCCGCGGUAAUACGUAGGUGGCAAGCGUUGUCCGGAAUUAUUGGGCGUAAAGCGCGCGCAGGCGGUUUCUUAAGUCUGAUGUGAAAUCUUGCGGCUCAACCGCAAGCGGUCAUUGGAAACUGGGAGGCUUGAGUGCAGAAGAGGAGAGUGGAAUUCCACGUGUAGCGGUGAAAUGCGUAGAGAUGUGGAGGAACACCAGUGGCGAAGGCGACUCUCUGGUCUGUAACUGACGCUGAGGCGCGAAAGCGUGGGGAGCGAACAGGAUUAGAUACCCUGGUAGUCCACGCCGUAAACGAUGAGUGCUAAGUGUUAGAGGGUUUCCGCCCUUUAGUGCUGCAGCAAACGCAUUAAGCACUCCGCCUGGGGAGUA